Molecule: long non-coding RNA, 343 nt
Organism: Sinocyclocheilus anshuiensis
Lineage: Eukaryota; Metazoa; Chordata; Actinopteri; Cypriniformes; Cyprinidae
Exons: 3
Source: RefSeq, a predicted model, not a curated record
UUGCUAUGCAAACUUUCCCACUUGCUGUCCAGUGAGGCAAAAGACAAAUACUACACUGAAUAUCACGUUAUUUGGCCUCAAAAGAGUUUUAUUCCAGGGUUUUGCAAAUGUCUGGUGAAUCGUCGCUAAAGAAGAGACCGGGCACAGCUCUCUCCAUCGUGACUGAGUUCAGUGGAUCUGGUUCAUUAAACCCCAAACCUGCUGCUGCUGCUGCUGCUGAAGAGCUGCUGCUCGAUCAGAGUCUUUCGGCGGAGAAACUGAAAAUCCUUUCUGGGUCAGACGAUUUACAAGAAGUGUGGUCGCUGGAGAUGUGUGUUGACACCCGAGAGGAGACUCUGGACAA